GGCUCAGAACGAACGCUGGCGGGCGCGUCUUAAGCAUGCAAGUCGAACGGCAAGAGGUAGCAAUACCUCCUAGAGUGGCGGACUGGUGAGUAACACGUGGGUGACAUACCCUUCAGAUGGGGAUAGCUAUUAGAAAUAGUAGAUAAUACCGAAUACGAGCACAGGGGUUAGAGAUCUGUGAGGAAAGGAGCUAAGGCUCCGCUGAAGGAAUGGCCUGCGGCCCAUUAGCUAGUUGGUGAGGUAAGAGCCCACCAAGGCGAUGAUGGGUAUCCGGCCUUAGAGGGUGAACGGACACAUUGGGACUGAGAUACGGCCCAGACUCCUACGGGAGGCAGCAGCUAAGAAUAUUCCGCAAUGGACGAAAGUCUGACGGAGCGACGCCGCGUGGAUGAAGAAGGCCGGAAGGUUGUAAAAUCCUUUUGAAACUGAAGAAUAAGCGUUGUAGGGAAUGACAGCGUGGUGACAGUAGGUUUUGAAUAAGCAACGGCUAAUUACGUGCCAGCAGCGGC
RNAcentral lists this ribosomal RNA (509 nucleotides) under uncultured bacterium. RNAcentral describes it as "bacterial SSU rRNA". It matches the Rfam family "Bacterial small subunit ribosomal RNA", at positions 21 to 518 of the family's 1533-position model. The record is from RNAcentral.